This 64-nucleotide transfer RNA is filed under the name Hydatigera taeniaeformis. Its description in RNAcentral is "tRNA-Gly". Lineage: Eukaryota; Metazoa; Platyhelminthes; Cestoda; Cyclophyllidea; Taeniidae. The record is from RNAcentral.
AUGCUAUUAGUAUAAAUUCAUUAUUUUUCUUUUCCACAGAAAAGAUCUAAUUAUAGAUGGCAUA